CAACCUCUGGCAAAAGAUGUGAAUGUUG
RNAcentral lists this non-coding RNA (28 nucleotides) under unclassified sequences. RNAcentral's name for it is "L19-Flavobacteria ribosomal protein leader". It matches the Rfam family "L19-Flavobacteria ribosomal protein leader". The record is from RNAcentral.